ACUCAAAUGAAUAGACGGGGGCCCGCACAAGCAGAGGAGCAUGUGGCUUAAUUCGAUGCAACGCGAAGAACCUUACCCGGGUUUGACAUGCAGCUGCACGGCCUGCGAAAGCAGGCCUCCUUCGAGGGUGCUGCACAGGUGCUGCAUGGCUGUCGUCAGUUCGUGCCGUGAGGUGUUUGGUUAAGUCCAGCAACGAACGCAACCCCUGUGUCCAGUUGCCAGCGCGUAACGGCGGGAACUCUGGACAGACUGCCCGUUCACACGGGAGGAAGGUGGGGACGACGUCAAGUCAGUAUGGCCCUUACAUCCGGGGCUGCACACGUGCUACAAUGGCCGGCACAAAGGGAAGCGAGGCCGCGAGGCGGAGCCAACCCCCAAAACCGGCCCCAGUUCAGAUCGGGGUCUGCAACCCGACCCCGUGAAGUCGGAUUUGCUAGUAACGGCGCAUCAGCUACGGCGCCGUGAAUACGUUCCCGGGCCUUGUACACACCGCCCGU
RNAcentral lists this ribosomal RNA (497 nucleotides) under uncultured bacterium. RNAcentral's name for it is "bacterial SSU rRNA". It matches the Rfam family "Bacterial small subunit ribosomal RNA", at positions 899 to 1397 of the family's 1533-position model. The record is from RNAcentral.